UGCCAGCUCUCCGAGUGGUAGGGAUGAUUAUUGGGCUUAAAGCGUCCGUAGCCGGCUUAGCAAGUUUCCUGUUAAAUUCAGCGACCUAAUCGUUGAGCCGCGGGAAAUACUACUAGGCUAGGAGGCGGGAGAGGUCGACGGUACUUCUGGGGUAGGGGUGAAGUCCUAUAAUCCCGGGAGGACCACCAGUGGCGAAGGCUGUCGACUAGAACGCGCUCGACGGUGAGGGACGAAAGCUGGGGGAGCGAACCGGAUUAGAUACCCGGGUAGUCCCAGCUGUAAACGAUGCGGGCUAGGUGUUGGGGUGGCUACGUGCCACUUCAGUGCCGCAGGGAAGCCAUUAAGCCCGCCGCCUGGGGAGUACGGCCGCAAGGCUGAAACUUAAAGGAAUUGGCGGGGGAGCACCACAAGGCGUGAAGCUUGCGGUUC
Molecule: ribosomal RNA, 429 nt
Filed under: uncultured archaeon
Lineage: Archaea
Description: bacterial SSU rRNA
Rfam family: Archaeal small subunit ribosomal RNA
Source: RNAcentral